RNAcentral lists this ribosomal RNA (380 nucleotides) under uncultured bacterium. RNAcentral describes it as "bacterial SSU rRNA". It matches the Rfam family "Bacterial small subunit ribosomal RNA", at positions 335 to 704 of the family's 1533-position model. The record is from RNAcentral.
ACUCCUACGGGAGGCAGCAGUGGGGAAUAUUGCACAAUGGGGGAAACCCUGAUGCAGCCAUGCCGCGUGUGUGAAGAAGGCCUUCGGUUGUAAAGUCACUUUCAGUAGGGUAGGAAGGUAGUGUAGUUAACACCUGCAUUAUUUUGACGUUACCUACAGAAGAAGCACCGGCUAACUCCGUGCCAGCAGCCGCGGUAAUACGGAGGGUGCGAGCGUUAAUCGGAAUUACUGGGCGUAAAGCGCAUGCAGGCGGCCUGUUAAGUCAGAUGUGAAAGCCCGGGGCUUAACCUCGGAAUUGCAUUUGAAACUGGCAGGCUAGAGUCUUGUAGAGGGGGGUAGAAUUUCAGGUGUAGGCGGUGAAAUGCGUAGAGAUCUGAAGG